This is a small nuclear RNA of Myotis myotis, 107 nucleotides long. NCBI's taxonomy places the organism in Eukaryota, Metazoa, Chordata, Mammalia, Chiroptera, Vespertilionidae. The record is from RefSeq and is a predicted model, not a curated record.
GUGCUCUCUUCGGCAGCACAUGUACUAAAAUCGGAAUGGUACAGAGAAGAUUAGCAUGGCCCCUGCACAAGGAUGACAUGCAAAUUCACGAAGUGUUCCAUAAAAAA